GGGCGAGUGGCGGAAUUGGUAGACGCGCUGGAUUUAGGAUCCAGUGGAUAACACCAUGGGGGUUCGAGUCCCUUCUCGCCCA
This 82-nucleotide transfer RNA is filed under the name marine sediment metagenome. It matches the Rfam family "tRNA". Rfam says of the family: Transfer RNA (tRNA) molecules are approximately 80 nucleotides in length. Their secondary structure includes four short double-helical elements and three loops (D, anti-codon, and T loops). The record is from RNAcentral.